AGCCUACGGGAGGCAGCAGUAGGGAAUUUUCGGCAAUGGGGGGAACCCUGACCGAGCAACGCCGCGUGAACGAAGAAGUUAUUCGUAAUGUAAAGUUCUUUUAUCAGGGAAGAAAGAGGAAUUUGACGGUACCUGAGGAAUAAGCUCCGGCUAACUACGUGCCAGCAGCCGCGGUAAUACGUAGGGAGCGAGCGUUAUCCGGAAUUAUUGGGCGUAAAGGGUGCGUAGAUGGGUUGUUAAGUCAGUU
This 247-nucleotide ribosomal RNA is filed under the name uncultured bacterium. Its description in RNAcentral is "partial 16S ribosomal RNA". It matches the Rfam family "Bacterial small subunit ribosomal RNA", at positions 335 to 593 of the family's 1533-position model. The record is from RNAcentral.